CCUACGGGUGGCAGCAGUGAGGAAUAUUGGUCAAUGGACGAUAGUCUGAACCAGCCAAGUAGCGUGAAGGAUGACUGCCCUAUGGGUUGUAAACUUCUUUUAUAUGGGAAUAAAAUGUUCCACGUGUGGGAUUUUGUAUGUACCAUAUGAAUAAGGAUCGGCUAACUCCGUGCCAGCAGCCGCGGUAAUACGGAGGAUCCGAGCGUUAUCCGGAUUUAUUGGGUUUAAAGGGAGCGUAGGUGGAUUGUUAAGUCAGUUGUGAAAGUUUGCGGCUCAACCGUAAAAUUGCAGUUGAAACUGGCAGUCUUGAGUACAGUAGAGGUGGGCGGAAUUCGUGGUGUAGCGGUGAAAUGCUGAGAUAUCACGAAGAACUCCGAUUGCGAAGGCAGUUCACUGGACUGCAACUGACACUGAGGCUCGAAAGUGUGGGUAUCAAACAGGAUUAGAUACCCUAGUAGUC
Molecule: ribosomal RNA, 460 nt
Filed under: uncultured bacterium
Lineage: Bacteria
Description: partial 16S ribosomal RNA
Rfam family: Bacterial small subunit ribosomal RNA
Source: RNAcentral